AAAUUGAAGAGUUUGAUCAUGGCUCAGAUUGAACGCUGGCGGCAGGCCUAACACAUGCAAGUCGAACGGUAACAGGAAGCAGCUUGCUGCUUCGCUGACGAGUGGCGGACGGGUGAGUAAUGUCUGGGAAACUGCCUGAUGGAGGGGGAUAACUACUGGAAACGGUAGCUAAUACCGCAUAAUGUCGCAAGACCAAAGAGGGGGACCUUCGGGCCUCUUGCCAUCGGAUGUGCCCAGAUGGGAUUAGCUUGUUGGUGGGGUAACGGCUCACCAAGGCGACGAUCCCUAGCUGGUCUGAGAGGAUGACCAGCCACACUGGAACUGAGACACGGUCCAGACUCCUACGGGAGGCAGCAGUGGGGAAUAUUGCACAAUGGGCGCAAGCCUGAUGCAGCCAUGCCGCGUGUAUGAAGAAGGCCUUCGGGUUGUAAAGUACUUUCAGCGGGGAGGAAGGGAGUAAAGUUAAUACCUUUGCUCAUUGACGUUACCCGCAGAAGAAGCACCGGCUAACUCCGUGCCAGCAGCCGCGGUAAUACGGAGGGUGCAAGCGUUAAUCGGAAUUACUGGGCGUAAAGCGCACGCAGGCGGUUUGUUAAGUCAGAUGUGAAAUCCCCGGGCUCAACCUGGGAACUGCAUCUGAUACUGGCAAGCUUGAGUCUCGUAGAGGGGGGUAGAAUUCCAGGUGUAGCGGUGAAAUGCGUAGAGAUCUGGAGGAAUACCGGUGGCGAAGGCGGCCCCCUGGACGAAGACUGACGCUCAGGUGCGAAAGCGUGGGGAGCAAACAGGAUUAGAUACCCUGGUAGUCCACGCCGUAAACGAUGUCGACUUGGAGGUUGUGCCCUUGAGGCGUGGCUUCCGGAGCUAACGCGUUAAGUCGACCGCCUGGGGAGUACGGCCGCAAGGUUAAAACUCAAAUGAAUUGACGGGGGCCCGCACAAGCGGUGGAGCAUGUGGUUUAAUUCGAUGCAACGCGAAGAACCUUACCUGGUCUUGACAUCCACAGAACUUUCCAGAGAUGGAUUGGUGCCUUCGGGAACUGUGAGACAGGUGCUGCAUGGCUGUCGUCAGCUCGUGUUGUGAAAUGUUGGGUUAAGUCCCGCAACGAGCGCAACCCUUAUCCUUUGUUGCCAGCGGUCCGGCCGGGAACUCAAAGGAGACUGCCAGUGAUAAACUGGAGGAAGGUGGGGAUGACGUCAAGUCAUCAUGGCCCUUACGACCAGGGCUACACACGUGCUACAAUGGCGCAUACAAAGAGAAGCGACCUCGCGAGAGCAAGCGGACCUCAUAAAGUGCGUCGUAGUCCGGAUUGGAGUCUGCAACUCGACUCCAUGAAGUCGGAAUCGCUAGUAAUCGUGGAUCAGAAUGCCACGGUGAAUACGUUCCCGGGCCUUGUACACACCGCCCGUCACACCAUGGGAGUGGGUUGCAAAAGAAGUAGGUAGCUUAACCUUCGGGAGGGCGCUUACCACUUUGUGAUUCAUGACUGGGGUGAAGUCGUAACAAGGUAACCGUAGGGGAACCUGCGGUUGGAUCACCUCCUUACCUUAAAGAAGC
RNAcentral lists this ribosomal RNA (1554 nucleotides) under Escherichia coli. RNAcentral describes it as "bacterial SSU rRNA". It matches the Rfam family "Bacterial small subunit ribosomal RNA". RNAcentral also lists the same sequence under 1 other name. The record is from RNAcentral. Lineage: Bacteria; Pseudomonadati; Pseudomonadota; Gammaproteobacteria; Enterobacterales; Enterobacteriaceae.